Non-coding RNA from Pantherophis guttatus, 987 nucleotides. The record is from RefSeq and is a predicted model, not a curated record. Lineage: Eukaryota; Metazoa; Chordata; Lepidosauria; Squamata; Colubridae.
AGGAACAAGCGCGAGGAAGAGCCUCGGCAAGAAUUGCCCGCCCAGGGCCGCCUUUCGGAGGGCCCUCGCCGCCUCGGCCGAAGCCCUAACCCCAAUACGGUUCCACCAUCGGGCCUCCUGGGGUCCGGAGUCCCGUUCUAACCCACUUCGGUCCGGAUACUCACGGGCGGAACGAAGGCCAUUCCAUAUUCUUGGCAGCAGAGGAAAUCCGCUCAACCCAAUUUCGCUCCCUCACCAGUUGAGACAUGUUUCAGAAUAGCAAGCACAAGAUGGCACCAUUCUCACAAGAUGGAGUUGAACAUGGUGGGAAAAUGCCCAGUUUCUCCUGAGGCCUGAAGGGUGCAGAGUUGCUACUUUUACUCGGAUAACAUGCUGUGUGAACAGGCAUCUCUAUCCAAUAUACAAGAUUCGGCUUCCAGUGCCACACUACGCAUCUGUAACUUUAAAAAAAAAAAAGAAAGAAAGUGGGCGGUGCGGAGUUACACAAAGAAAAGUCCCUCUGGAAACCUCUUAGUUAUAAAUACAGAUGAUCGACUUUGUGGACUCCAUGUCCCGCCUUGCAUUGCUUUUCCAGGAUAUGAAAGGUGCACCCAUUCCAUUGCCCCUGUGCAUUCUGGGACUCGUAGUUCCUGCAAGUAUACGUCGUCGUUAAAGGAACCGUUCCUUUGAAAUCCGGCAACGAGGAACAAUGCAGGAAGAGGAAAUCACCAGGUUGAAAGGAAAAAGGAAGGAUUUAAUAAAAAAAAAAAAGCCACUCUUAAUAAGGUUUCUGGAUUCUUUACCGCUCUGGCAAUUUUAUUAUUAGCCCUUGAUAUUUAUAGAGUAUCAGCCCAGCAACAGAAAUAUAUACCCAUUAUAACUCUGGAGAAUUUUGGAACAUCGUAAUUCUAUGACUCGACAGCAAAUCGAAGUUACGAAGUUUGUUUUAAAUGAAAGCAUGGAAUCAAUUAUAUUUUAUUUGAAAUAAAGAGCUAUCAAUAAAAUAAG